This 269-nucleotide ribosomal RNA is filed under the name Bacillus thuringiensis. RNAcentral describes it as "partial 16S ribosomal RNA". It matches the Rfam family "Bacterial small subunit ribosomal RNA", at positions 1 to 257 of the family's 1533-position model. Lineage: Bacteria; Bacillati; Bacillota; Bacilli; Caryophanales; Bacillaceae. The record is from RNAcentral.
UUUAUUGGAGAGUUUGAUCCUGGCUCAGGAUGAACGCUGGCGGCGUGCCUAAUACAUGCAAGUCGAGCGAAUGGAUUGAGAGCUUGCUCUCAAGAAGUUAGCGGCGGACGGGUGAGUAACACGUGGGUAACCUGCCCAUAAGACUGGGAUAACUCCGGGAAACCGGGGCUAAUACCGGAUAGCAUUUUGAACUGCAUGGUUCGAAAUUGAAAGGCGGCUUCGGCUGUCACUUAUGGAUGGACCCGCGUCGCAUUAGCUAGUUGGUGAGG